AGAGUUUGAUCCUGGCUCAGGACGAACGCUGGCGGCGUGCUUAACACAUGCAAGUCAAGGAGAACGUUUUCUUCGGAAAAUUAUUAAACUGGCGAACGGGUGAGUAACGCGUAGGCAACCUGCCCUAGAGAUUGGGAUAACCCCGGGAAACCGGGACUAAUACCGAAUAAUGCAGCGGAUCCUUUGGGAUACAGUUGUUAAAGUGGGCUUCGGCUCACACUUUAGGAUGGGCCUGCGUCUGAUUAGCUAGUUGGUGAGGUAACGGCUCACCAAGGCAUCGACGGGUAGCUGGUCUGAGAGGACGAUCAGCCACACUGGGACUGAGAUACGGCCCAGACUCCUACGGGAGGCAGCAGUAGGGAAUCUUGCGCAAUGGGCGAAAGCCUGACGCAGCCACGCCGCGUGAGUGAUGAAGGCCUUCGGGUCGUAAAGCUCUUUCAGCAGGGACGAAAAUGACGGUACCUGCAGAAGAAGCCCCGGCCAACUACGUGCCAGCAGCCGCGGUAACACGUAGGGGGCAAGCGUUGUCCGGAUUUAUUGGGCGUAAAGGGCUCGUAGGCUGUUCAGUAAGUCAGGUGUGAAAACUCGAGGCUCAACCUCGAGACGCCACUUGAUACUGCUGUGACUUGAGUUCGGUAGAGGAGUGUGGAAUUCCUAGUGUAGCGGUGAAAUGCGCAGAUAUCAGGAGGAACACCAAAGGCGAAGGCAGCUUACUGGACCUAUACUGACGCUGAGGAACGAAAGCGUGGGGAGCGAACAGGAUUAGAGACCCUGGUAGUCCACGCCGUAAACGAUGAGUACUUGGUGGUGGGGGAUUCGACCCCUUCACUGUCGGAGCUAACGCGUUAAGUACUCCGCCUGGGAACUACGACCGCAAGGUUGAAACUCAAAGGAAUUGACGGGGACCCGCACAAGCGGUGGAUUAUGUGGUUUAAUUCGAUGCAACGCGAAGAACCUUACCUGGACUUGACAUGUUAGUGAAACUUUGGUGAAAGCCAAAGGCUCUGCGAGCUUGCUCAAGGACACUAUCACAGGUGAUGCAUGGCUGUCGUCAGCUCGUGUCGUGAGAUGUUCGGUUAAGUCCGAUAACGAGCGCAACCCCUAUCCUUAGUUGCCAGCACGUAAUGGUGGGGACUCUAGGGAAACUGCCCGGGAUAACCGGAAGGAAGGUGGGGUCGACGUCAAGUCAGUAUGUCCCUUACGUUCAGGGCUACACACGUAAUACAAUGGGGAGUACAGAGGGUAGCAAUACUGCGAAGUGGAGCCAAUCCCAAAAAACUUCCCCAAGUUCGGAUUGCAGUCUGCAACUCGACUGCAUGAAGCAGGAAUCGCUAGUAAUCGCGCAUCAGCAUGGCGCGGUGAAUACGUUCCCGGGUCUUGUACACACCGCCCGUCACGCCAUGGAAGCCGGUAGCACCCAAUGUCAGUGUCCUAACCUUUGGGGAGGAGCUGCUUAAGGUGAGAUUGGUAACUGGGGCGAAGUCGUAACAAGGUAACC
Molecule: ribosomal RNA, 1498 nt
Filed under: uncultured bacterium
Lineage: Bacteria
Description: partial 16S ribosomal RNA
Rfam family: Bacterial small subunit ribosomal RNA
Source: RNAcentral